AGAGUUUGAUCAUGGCUCAGGGUGAACGCUGGCGGCGUGCCUAACACAUGCAAGUCGAGCGGGUACCCGCAAGGGUACCAGCGGCGCACGGGUGAGUAACACGUGGGUAAUCUACCCCUCGGAGGGGGAUAACCGGGGGAAACUCCGGCUAAUACCCCAUACGAUCCAACAACACAAGUUGUUGGAUGAAAGGAGCGUUUGCUCCGCCGAGGGAUGAGCCCGCGGCCCAUCAGGUAGUUGGUGGGGUAAUGGCCCACCAAGCCUACGACGGGUAGCCGGCCUGAGAGGGUGGUCGGCCACAAGGGCACUGAGACACGGGCCCUACUCCUACGGGAGGCAGCAGUGGGGAAUCUUGGACAAUGGGCGAAAGCCUGAUCCAGCGACGCCGCGUGGGGGAUGAAGCCCUUCGGGGUGUAAACCCCUGUUGCGAGGGAGGAAUAAGGCCUGGAGGAAAUGCCAGGCCGAUGACUGUACCUCGCGAGGAAGCCCCGGCUAACUACGUGCCAGCAGCCGCGGUAAUACGUAGGGGGCGAGCGUUACCCGGAUUCACUGGGCGUAAAGCGGGUGUAGGCGGCUCGGUAAGUCGGGUGUGAAAUCCCACAGCUCAACUGUGGAAUUGCGCCCGAAACUGCUGAGCUUGGGGCCGGUAGAGGGAGACGGAACUGCCGGUGUAGGGGUGAAAUCCGUAGAUAUCGGCAGGAACGCCGGUGGGGAAGCCGGUCUCCUGGGCCGCGCCCGACGCUGAGACCCGAAAGCUAGGGGAGCAAACCGGAUUAGAUACCCGGGUAGUCCUAGCCGUAACGAUGCCCACUAGGUGUGGGGGAUUAAUUCCUCCGUGCUGUAGCUAACGCGUUAAGUGGGCCGCCUGGGGAGUACGCCCGCAAGGGUGAAACUCAAGGAAUUGACGG
RNAcentral lists this ribosomal RNA (908 nucleotides) under uncultured Thermotoga sp. Its description in RNAcentral is "bacterial SSU rRNA". It matches the Rfam family "Bacterial small subunit ribosomal RNA", at positions 8 to 916 of the family's 1533-position model. Lineage: Bacteria; Thermotogati; Thermotogota; Thermotogae; Thermotogales; Thermotogaceae. The record is from RNAcentral.